GUGCUCUCUUCAGCAGCACGUACACUAAAAUUAGAACAAUACAGAGAUUAGCAUGACCCCUGCACAAGGAUGCCAUGCAAAUUCACGAAGCAUUCCAAACACUU
Molecule: small nuclear RNA, 104 nt
Filed under: Catagonus wagneri (Chacoan peccary)
Lineage: Eukaryota; Metazoa; Chordata; Mammalia; Artiodactyla; Tayassuidae
Source: RNAcentral